This is a non-coding RNA of Myodes glareolus (Bank vole), 452 nucleotides long. The record is from RefSeq and is a predicted model, not a curated record. Lineage: Eukaryota; Metazoa; Chordata; Mammalia; Rodentia; Cricetidae.
AGCACAGUUCCGCCUUGUCAUCUGCAGCAACAGAAGGGGUUCCCUCAAUCCUUUAGGGGCCUCAGCACAGCAUGCCAGAAUAUAAAACCAGCAAGGUCAGAGCCGAUGCCCUUGAUGAAAAGUUAUGGAAUUUGGAGUUCUAUUUAUCCAACGCAAGACGGACACAUUUACCUAAAGGCCCUAAAUUUUUUUGAGACAUUUUAUUGAUAACUUCUGACCAAGUAUAAUUUUUUAUCUCAAGACUAAUUAUCUUCACUAUAUGUGUAACUCCUUGAAGACUUAGUGUCCAUAACAACUAAUUCAUGAAUUUGAAUUUAUGUGGUACACAAAUUUGCUUAGCCAAUAUCUUACUCAUGGACUACGGUUAUGAGAAGUUACAGGGUUGCAUCAGUAGGGUCUCGAGGUAAUAGAUGGUUUAAGAGGGAAGAAUAAAAGGUUCUUGGAGUUCUGAA